This is a non-coding RNA of Mesocricetus auratus (golden hamster), 73 nucleotides long. NCBI's taxonomy places the organism in Eukaryota, Metazoa, Chordata, Mammalia, Rodentia, Cricetidae. The record is from Rfam.
GGAGAGGUGGCUCAGAGGUUAAGAGCACUGACUGCUCUCCCAGAGGUCCUGAGUUCAAUUCCCAGCACCUACA